GUUGUGGAAAGGGGACUGAAGUCCUGCGUUUCCUCCUUUGCGCCGCUGCGGCGGGUUUAAAGGAGGAGAAGGAGGAGAAGAGGAGCAGAACAAGUCCCCGGCUGACUCCUUCUCCCGGCUCCGCGGAGGUCCAGCGGAGCCGCGGGCAGCGACACCACGCCCUGGCUGCGUGAGAGAGAGCCGAGGUCCGGCCGGCGGAGCCGGGGCCGCGGGCACGCGCGGGCAGGAGCCGGCGGCCGCGGGCACGAGCCUGCAGGAGCGGCCCGGCCCGGCCCGGCCCGGCCAGGACGGGGAUCAAGAAACACUCACACCUAAAUGGGAAGAAGGAAGAAGAAGAAGCCACCGACGGCGUUUGGGUCUUUAACGGGACUGUGCGUCACCCCGCGCGGCCCGUGUGGAAGUCUCGUGCUCCACGGCCGACUCCCUCUCACCCUCAAAUGGCUGACACACAGCAGUUCUUCACUGGCAAGCUUUAUGUUCCUAUACACAUGCUAAAGCUGCCAGCUGAAGAACUGCUCUGGCCAGCCCUGCCCCGGACGACUCGAGUAGGAGAAGCGGAUAAAAGACUCAGUAGUACGACUGGAGUUUCGUAUCCUGCCAGAUUUGAGCCUCUAUUAUUUUUAGUUGUGCUGUGGAGAAUAUUUAUUGGUUUUGUGGUCACACAUGAUGUCUGUUUCUCACAAAGCUGCUUAAAUAAUGCCUAUGAGCUUUUGUUUUUUUCCCCCUCCUUACAAUAAAGAACAAAAUGUU
Cololabis saira (Pacific saury) is the source of this 750-nucleotide long non-coding RNA. RefSeq lists it as uncharacterized. NCBI's taxonomy places the organism in Eukaryota, Metazoa, Chordata, Actinopteri, Beloniformes, Belonidae. The record is from RefSeq and is a predicted model, not a curated record. The transcript is spliced from 2 exons.